This 449-nucleotide ribosomal RNA is filed under the name uncultured bacterium. RNAcentral's name for it is "bacterial SSU rRNA". It matches the Rfam family "Bacterial small subunit ribosomal RNA", at positions 328 to 793 of the family's 1533-position model. The record is from RNAcentral.
UAACCAGACUCCUACGGGAGGCAGCAGUGGGGAAUAUUGCACAAUGGGGGAAACCCUGAUGCAGCGACGCCGCGUGAGUGAAGAAGUAUUUCGGUAUGUAAAGCUCUAUCAGCAGGGAAGAAAAUGACGGUACCUGAUUAAGAAGCCCCGGCUAACUGCGUGCCAGCAGCCGCGGUAAUACGUAGGGGGCGAGCGUUAUCCGGAUUCACUGGGGGUAAAGGGAGCGUAGACGGCCAUGCAAGCCAGGGGUGAAAGCCCGGGGCCCAACCCCGGGACUGCCCUUGGAACUGUGCGGCUAGAGUGCGGGAGGGGCAGGCGGAAUUCCUGGUGUAGCGGUGAAAUGCGUAGAUAUCAGGAGGAACACCGGCGGCGAAGGCGGCCUGCUGGACCGCGACUGACGUUGAGGCUCGAAAGCGUGGGGAGCGAACAGGAUUAGAUACCCGCGUACG